Molecule: long non-coding RNA, 4915 nt
Filed under: Vitis vinifera (wine grape)
Lineage: Eukaryota; Viridiplantae; Streptophyta; Magnoliopsida; Vitales; Vitaceae
Description: long non-coding RNA (VVIN_LNC007648)
Source: RNAcentral
GGCAAUGAUGAUCUACUAGGUUUGCUGCUUCAAUGUCAAGAACAAACUGAUAGUGAGAUGACAAUUGAAGAUGUGAUAGAGGAAUGCAAGUUGUUCUACUUUGCUGGCCAAGAGACCACUGCUAACUGGCUAACAUGGACAAUUCUCCUCUUAUCUAUGCAUCCCAACUGGCAAGAGAAGGCAAGAGAAGAGGUUUUACAAAUUUGUGGGAAGAAAAUGCCUGAUAUUGAAGCCAUAAACCACCUCAAAAUUGUUAGUACUUUUCCUCCACUUUACUUGAAAUUGCAUUCCAAGUAGUUUUCUUAUAUAUAACUCAUUUGUAGGUGUCGAUGAUACUACAUGAAGUCCUAAGGCUAUAUCCACCUGUGACUCAGCAGUUCAGGCAUACUUGUGAAAGAAUCAAUAUAGCAGGUAUGUGUAUCCCAGCUGGGGUCAACCUUGUGUUGCCAACUUUGCUUCUUCAUCACAGUCCUGAGUAUUGGGGAGAUGAUGUUGAAGAAUUUAAACCAGAGAGAUUCUCUGAAGGAGUUUCAAAGGCAUCAAAGGGUGAUCAGAUUGCAUUCUAUCCAUUUGGGUGGGGGCACAGGAUUUGCUUGGGCCAAGGUUUUGCAAUGAUAGAAGCAAAGAUGGCUCUAGCUAUGAUUCUGCAACACUUUUGGUUUGAGCUUUCACCCACUUACACUCAUGCUCCUCAUACUGUUAUUACUCUUCAACCUCAACAUGGAGCUCCAAUUAUACUACACGAAAUCUAACAACUAUUUCUUUUGGCUUUCAUGGCUAUACCUUUUUAUCUUCAUACUCACACAUGAAGGGUAGUAAGCCAAUAGAAACUCGUGUCUACAAAACCCAAGUUCAAAACAAACUACCUACUUGCAUGUCCAUCUCUUCUUCUACGUUGUAUGUAGAUCUGGUCUCUCAUUUCCCCAAAGACAUACAUUUAAGUACAACAAUUUUGAAGAAAGAAAAUGGAGGUUGUUACAUUUCGAAUUCACUCAACCAUACCAAAUUUAAAGGCCUUCACUGGUAAUCAAAAUGACUAUUCUCCUUUUGAGGCAACUCUUUCUGCCUAUCUUGGCUACUUCUGUUUAUUUAAAGGCAACACUCCAUUGUUAAACUUCUAUAAAAGUUUAUUCUUGGUUCAUCGAGGUGGUUGGGGAGGGUUGUUCCAAGCUUUUAUAUCCAAUGUAAAACCUUAUCCUACUCUUUUGUAUUCCAAUAAAUUCAAGAUGCAAUAUGUGAAGCUUUGGAAGGUCAGAAGUGAGUGUAAUUAUGUUCCAUUAAUUUUAUUUUACUUAUCAUUGUAUACCUUUGACUUGAUUUGCCAUGUACCAAUAGUUACCAAAGCUAUUUAAAAGUUAUUAUAAAUAAAAAUUAUUUUAAUUAGUAAUAUUCUUGUUAAAAAUGAUUUAAAAAAAAUCAUUNNNNNNNNNNNNNNNNNNNNNNNNNNNNNNNNNNNNNNNNNNNNNNNNNNNNNNNNNNNNNNNNNNNNNNNNNNNNNNNNNNNNNNNNNNNNNNNNNNNNAAAAAUCAUUUGUAUUUUACAAUAUUUUUAAAAAGUUUUUUUAAUAUAAAAAUUAUUUUUUAAGGUUGAAAAAUUUUUAAAAAUCAUUUAUAAGACUUUUUAGAAAAACGUUUGAUAUGUGGUUAUCUUAAAAUUAAUUGUGGAGAAAAUAUUUUAUUAAAAACCCUUUAAAUAAAAACCAAUAGGAUAAAAUUGUUGACCGGACCCUUUUCCGGUGUGGUUUUCACUUUUAGCCCGCUCCCAUGUCAAACCGGAUCCCACUCUCAUAUCAAACCGGAAUUGAACCGCUCCGGAUCAAACCGUAAUUUUACCCACAAUGUGCAUCUCCAGCAUCAGCCAGGAUUGCAUCUGUGAACAGAAGGAACAAAGGCCACUGGGCUAUCUAUAAACUUUGUAAAAAUUAAUGCACAUAAAUAUAUACUAUAAUUUUGGUAUUUUUUUUGAGUUUCAUUAAUUUAAACUCUUAAUUAAACAUAAACAUUAAGUGCACAUUUAUUUUUUAAGAUAAGUUAUGAAAAGAAUAUAAAUUAAAUAAUAUAAUAAUUUUUAAAAUAAUAAAAUAAUAAAAUAUAUAAUUUUUCACAUGUAAAAUUCUUUUCAUCCUAACUAUAUCUUCACAUUUAAAUAUUAUAAAUAUUUUAUUAAAUAAAAUUUAAAAUAUUAAUUCAUUUAUAUUUAUCCUUAUAAUCAUUUAAUUUGAUAUUAAUAUUAUUAAAAUUUUGAAUUAUAUAUAUAUAUAUUUAAUUUUUUAUAAAUACUUUUACUUUAUAUAAUAUAUAAAUUAUAUAUUUAUGAUGUCAUAUGUUUGAUCAUGAUUUAAUCAUUGCUUCAAUUAGUAAACCGUGAAUAGACAAUUUAGCAAUUCAUUGGUUUGAUUAUGAAAACAUUGAAAAAAACAUCGGGUAAGAUAUUAUCCAAAUGUCAGUGCUUUGAUUAUUAGAUUUUUGAAGUGGUGAUCAAGUGAUUAUCCAAAUGUCAGUGCUGCCUCCACAUCUUGAUUUGUAGUUAAUGGAAGUUAAUGCACAUGUAAUGAUAUAAUUUUAGAAAAACAUACGAUAAGAAAUGUUUCAGUCCACAUCAAGUGGGAAUCCUUUUCAUCAUCAUGGGAAACAAAAGAAAGUGGAAUCUUUUUCAUUAUUACUUCUUGUUUUUUCAACACUUGUUCAAGAGAAGGGUAGACUGCAUUUUAGAAAAACAUACGAUAAGAAAUGUUGCAGUCCACAUCAAGUGGGAAUCCUUUUCAUCAUAAUGGGAAGCAAAAGAAAGUGGAAUCUUUUUCAUUAUUACUUCUUGUUUUUUCAACACUUGUUCAAGAGAAGGGUAGACUGCAUUUGGCAUAUUUUGGGCAUCAAACUAAUUUAAUCAUUGUACAAAACCCCAUUAAAACCCACAAAAUUUUAGCUUCAUCAUUCCAAGAAAACCCAAAUGAGAAUGGAAGGCUCCAUUUUGAAAACCAUGGCAUACUCUUUUGCCAUAUUGACUGUCUAUACUCUUUUGAGAGUUGUUUACAGCAUCUGGUGGAGACCCAAAAGCCUGGAGAAGCAGCUGAGGCGGCAAGGCAUCAGAGGUACUCAUUACAAGCUUUUGUUUGGAGACGCGAAAGCUAUGAAGCAGUCAUUCAUGGAGGCACGCUCCAAACCCAUGGCUUUGAACCAUUCUAUUGUUCCUCGUGUCAUUCCAUUCUACCAUGAAAUGGCUCAAAAAUAUGGUAAGCCGAUUAUUAUAUUGUUACUGGUUUAUUGCCUCUUCUUAUGUGGAUCUGAUGACAUAGAAUUGGAAAAACAGGGAAAGUUUCAGUGAGUUGGCACUUUACAACGCCAAGGGUGCUGAUAGUGGAGCCAGAGCUGAUGAGGAUGAUAUUAAAAUACAAGAAUGGUCACUUGCACAGGCUGCCGGGAAACCCUCUUGGGUAUCAUCUGUCACGCGGACUAUUAUCCUUGGAAGGUGAGAAAUGGGCCAAAAGGAGAAAGUUACUCUCACCAGCUUUCCACCUUGAGAAGUUGAAGGUGAUUAAUCUAACCCACUAACUUUCCGCUCUUAACAGCGAGAAAAUUCUUUACAGUGAUAGAGGCUAUCGUUCAAAGAGUAACUAAAGAGUGGCACACUUCCAUCGUUAAGAAGCGCUUUUAGAGAAAAAUAUGCAUCGGGUUUGUCAAAAUUUACAAAACACCUAAAAAAUACUUUAACUAAAUACUAGCUCCCAAAUAUUCUUAAUAAAGUUGAACAAAAGUACCAUUCGCAACAUAAUAGAGUGAUUCAUACCCCAUUGAUUUAUAUUUCUUUUUGUUGUAAUAAUUAAUAUAUGAAGAAAAACUAUUAGAAAUAUUUAUGAGUAUUAUAGGUCAUGAAAAAAAAAAUUUAUAAGCUUAUGAAAAUUAUAUGUGAUGGCUAGAGAUGGGAGGAGUGAAAGAUACUCGGUGGAGGACGAGGGUUCAUGGACUCGUAAUUCAAAGUAUAAAUACAAAGAGUUGAAAAACGUGAGAUGUUCAAUUAUUGACCUGUAAUAUUUUUUAUGGUAUGGUAGAAUGUACUCUUUUAUUCAUGGAUGUAGGUAUGGUUUGUCGGUUUUAAAAUCUUGUCGACUUUUUGUAAGGAUUAUUUGAUCUUUGUGCUUGUGCAUCAGCAUAUUUAUAUUGAAACUUCACAACAUAAUUUUCAUGGCAAAGCCCAAAGAGGGCCUUAGGUUAUGAAGUACUAAUGGGUAGUGAAAAACAGGGUAUGAUGCCAGCAUUUUCAACAAGUUGUCACGAUUUGAUAGAACGGUGGAAGAACUUGGUUGGUCCUCAAGGAACAUAUGAACUAGAUGUAAUGCCUGAAUUUCAGAACCUUACUGGGGAUGUUAUUUCUCGAACAGCCUUUGGAAGCAGCUAUGAAGAAGGAAGGAGAGUGUUUGAACUUCAGAAGGAGCAAAUUGUGCUAGUCAUGGAAGAUUUUCGAAACUUUUACAUACCUGGUUUCAGGUGCAAAGCAUUAUAAACUUUAGAGUGUCUACUGUAAUUUCUUAGCUUAAAUAUUUCUUGUUCUGAACGAAUUAUUCCAUCUGAUUGUAGAUUUGUGCCCACUAGGAAGAACAAGAGGAGAUAUUAUAUGGACAGUGAGAUCAAAGCGAUGAUAAAAAAAAUAAUUCUCAAGAAGAAGCAGACCCUGAAGAAUGGAGAUCCAGGCAAUGAUGAUCUACUAGGUUUACUGCUGCAAUGUCAGGAACAAACUGAUAGUGAGAUGACGAUUGAUGAUGUGGUAGAGGAAUGCAAGUUGUUCUACUUUGUUGGCCAAGAGACCACUGCUAACUGGCUAACAUGGACAACUCUCCUCUUAUCUAUGCAUCCCAACUGGCAAGAGAAGGCAAGAGCAGAGGUUUUACAGAUAUGUGGGAAGAAAAUGCCUGAUAUUGAAG